UCCGGAAUUAUUGGGCGUAAGCGCGCGCAGGUGGUUUCUUAAGUCUGAUGUGAAAGCCCACGGCUCAACCGUGGAGGGUCAUUGGAAACUGGGAGACUUGAGUGCAGAAGAGGAAAGUGGAAUUCCAUGUGUAGCGGUGAAAUGCGUAGAGAUAUGGAGGAACACCAGUGGCGAAGGCGACUUUCUGGUCUGUAACUGACACUGAGGCGCGAAAGCGUGGGGAGCAAACAGGAUUAGAUACCCUGGUAGUCCACGCCGUAAACGAUGAGUGCUAAGUGUUAGAGGGUUUCCGCCCUUUAGUGCUGAAGUUAACGCAUUAAGCACUCCGCCUGGGGAGUACGGCCGCAAGGCUGAAACUCAAAGGAAUUGACGGGGGCCCGCACAAGCGGUGGAGCAUGUGGUUUAAUUCAAAUCAACGCGAAGAACCUUACCAGGUCUUGACAUCCUCU
Molecule: ribosomal RNA, 449 nt
Filed under: Bacillus cereus
Lineage: Bacteria; Bacillati; Bacillota; Bacilli; Caryophanales; Bacillaceae
Description: bacterial SSU rRNA
Rfam family: Bacterial small subunit ribosomal RNA
Source: RNAcentral